Non-coding RNA from Manis javanica (Malayan pangolin), 3293 nucleotides. The record is from RefSeq and is a predicted model, not a curated record. Lineage: Eukaryota; Metazoa; Chordata; Mammalia; Pholidota; Manidae.
CAUUUGUCACAGAUGAAAAAAUACAGACUUGUAGUAUUUGGUAGUAUUUUGGUAAAAUUAGAGCCACUUUUCUACAUAGCUGAAACAGAUUGUUUUUCAGGUGAAUUCCUGGGUGGUGUGAGAGCACCAAGUGGGUGCUGCCUGGCAGGGAGAGUGAAGGAUGCCGAGGACGGACGGAAACGCGCCCCUGGAGUGGCCAGGGCCAGCGCUGGAGAUGCUCAUCCCCUCAUAAGCUUAACGUGGAAAGGUGUUUCCAUGCAGCCCCAGAGGGAGAGGUGCUGAUGACUCAUGGGAUCCAGAGCAGGAGCUGGAGCGUCAUGGGAUUGCAGGUGAGUGGUGGAGUCAGAACUAACCCAGAGCUGUUGACCAGUCAUUACUGUUCAGCCUUCAAGCAGCCGAACUGCACAACCAAAGGCUACGGGUACGUGUGUGUGACAGCCUUUCUCUGAUUGGUUCAGCAGUUGUCUCCUGAUGGGGAAAGAGACUGAAAGUUGUGUAUCAGAUGAACCAAGGACAGCAGCAGACAGUGUGACACCUGCUCAGCUCCACCUCCAUGCCAGGCAUCUACCUGCACGUUUACACCCAGUACUCAGAACCCUUAGGAAGGAGGUUUGUCAGUUUGUAGUAGGACACUGAGGCAGAGAGCUGGAUUUGCGGUAGGCAUUUGUUGAGAGCCCCAACACUUCAUGAGCACACCCUGGGGUGUACAGAGCCAGAGUCCUGGCAGGUGUGAGAGUUGCAUCACAUCCCCCAAAACCAGCUGCCUGAGUGAGUCUGAGAGCUUGUCUUCAGUAGUGAUACCCACCAAAAAGUGAGUGAGCAUGGGUCAAGAGCACCUCCUGGGGUCCUGCAUUCAUUCAGUUAGCUGAGCAUACGUUUGCUCUGCUUUUCUGGAAAGCACAAAGGAGUUCUUUGGCAUGGACUACUGCAUCCCUUUACAGAUGGACGAACAGGCUCAGAGGAAGGAGAUGCUUUGCCCCCUCUCAUCACUUUCAGAAGAGCUAAAACAUGGCCAAAGGGCUUCAUAACCAGUAAUGCUGUCUUCCUCAGAUGUGGUUCAUGACAUCUUACUUGUUUUAUGUUUUGGGAGAGCCUGUUUGGACAGGGAGGUGAGUCUCACAACCGUGUCUAGUUCAGGAGCAUGUUCAGGAGUCCGGACUUUUCACCCCACAAAAGAAAAGCGGCCGGAGACCAGGCAGCCAUCUUCCAUAGAGCCAUUGCAGGAAGCUGGGGUGCUCGAGACUGCCGUGUGGCCAGCGGCUGCCACGCUGCACUGCUCACUUCUCUGCAGGUGUCCACACUGAACUGAGGGUGCAUCAAUGCGGGAAAUGGCUUAGACUCUCCCAGGUCUGCAAGCUGUCCCGCGCCACUAAGCCUUAAGCAUGGGGCUGGCAGUCUGGGGUAGGGCUGGAGGUGGAGAACAGCUCAUCUAACUUGGCUCCGCUCUGUCCUGGAUGUUGCCCAGAUGGAAACCCAUCAGCUCCCCAACAGGCUGACUGGGUGUGAAAUGCACAGUGGCAAAUGCUGCUCACGGGAAGGUCGGGUCAUCUGAGGCAUAGAAAACAGGAAUCUGAAUGAGGGGGUAGUUGGUAACUGCUUUGGCCUUUGGGAUAAUCCAGAGUUCAGGCAGCAGGUCUUUUACUAUUUUAUGAAAAAUAAGCAUUGUGCCUGAAUGCUGUGUUAACAGUGUAAUUUUGCAGGCUCAGGAAGGAGGUUUGCCCUGAGAAAAGCAGCCCAUUUCCUCCUCUUGUUGGCUUGCCUAUGGCUGCCUGGUUGCCCCCGUCAGAGGAGAUCUGAAGCUCCAGCCCGCGGACUAAGGACAGGGUGGUUCCCUGCACAGCCCUUCCACCCGGCUCCCUGCCCAGGUUCAGUCCUAAUGCACUUCAAAAGACUGCCACCUAAAAUGUUCUCCUGGUGCAGUGAACCCGUUUCAGAGUGGGACCUGUGCACUUCUGAGAGAGUAACCGUACCGGGGCACUGGAUCACAGCUUCGGGACUGUGUUCCUCUCGUGGUGAUGCACACUGACAAAGAUUUCAGAGGAAUUUGGAGAUGGGCAAGUGCACUUUCUUGACCUUUUCGAAAAUAGUCUGAGUCACUUUCACUUCCACCCUCCCCUAAACCAUGUUGAAUGAAUCCUUUGUGCAGUUUAUAGAAAGUGAAGAGCAGUUUGGCAAGCGAGAGAAGUUCAAACUCCUCAUAGCCUCUUCUGCAUUGAGUAACACUUUUUUCGAGUUGUCUGUUAACAUUUUUCUGAAACACUUUUGAUGAAGCCUACAACUAGCUCAUGAGUGGCCAUAAUUUGACUGCUUUAAAAAUACAAGAAGAGUGUAACUGCUUUAACAGACAGGAAAUGACAGUCCACACCUGAUUUGGUGGAAAGAAAUUCUCAAUGUUGGAGAGGUGUAAUUGGUAUAUUUAUUCUUAGCCCCUGCCAGUGGCUCUGUCAGAUGCCGGCAGAACACCAGUAGGGGUCUGCACAGAACAUGGAAAGGUGCUUUAUUUUCCACUGGUCUUUGGCUGUGUCUCCAUGACUUGUGAUUACCAAACCACUCUUCUGAGAAAACGGUGUCAUCGCAGCCUGGCCACCGCACUACUACUCCUGGUAUGGUGUGUGAUGGCUCAAACACCAGGUACAUGUGUACACAGGGAAAUGUAUGUUGACUUUCCUGAGAAACUGGACAGACUUGACAUUUUUCACUGUAUCUAAUUUCCCCCAGGGAUAAGCUAGUCUUAGAAAGUGAAUUUGAGGAGUAAGAGAACCAAGGAAAGGAGCCAAGUCCUGGCCUGGGACAGGCUCUCCCUCUUUUACUCCAUGACCUUCAGCAGAUGCAGAAUGGAGGCCACAUCUAAGAAAAGAUGCCAUCGUGCCUGUUCUUCACACCUGAGAAUAGAGAUUACCAAAGCUGUGGUACCUGGAAAAGAUAUCUUGAGAAUGCAUUUUUGGGCUCCAUUCCGUAACUUCUGAAUUGAUUCUGGUUUUGAAGCCCUGGAAUCAGAAUUGAGGAAAAAGGCAUGGUGAUUUUUUUUUUGAAUUAUAACUCACAUGCCAUUAAAGUCACCCUUUAACGUGUACAGUUCAGUGGUUUUAGUAUAUUCAGAGUUGUGCAUCCCAGAAUUGUGCACUAACUCCAGAAUAUUUUUAUCCCAAAAAGUAGCUCUGUAUUCAUUAGCAGUCACUCCUCAUUACCUUUCCUCCCAGCCCAUGGCAGCCACUAAUCUACUCUCUGUCUCUGGAUUUGCCUACUUGAGACAUUUCAUGUAAAUAGAUUUAUAUAAUAUAUAGGCUUUUAUG